This 426-nucleotide ribosomal RNA is filed under the name uncultured bacterium. RNAcentral describes it as "bacterial SSU rRNA". It matches the Rfam family "Bacterial small subunit ribosomal RNA", at positions 356 to 774 of the family's 1533-position model. The record is from RNAcentral.
GGGGAAUUUUGGACAAUGGGCGCAAGCCUGAUCCAGCAACGCCGCGUGCAGGAUGAAGGCCUUCGGGUUGUAAACUGCUUUUGUACGGAACGAAAAAGCUCUCUCUAAUACAGGGGGUGAAUGACGGUACCGUAAGAAUAAGCACCGGCUAACUACGUGCCAGCAGCCGCGGUAAUACGUAGGGUGCAAGCGUUAAUCGGAAUUACUGGGCGUAAAGCGUGCGCAGGCGGUUUUGUAAGACAGAUGUGAAAUCCCCGGGCUUAACCUGGGAACUGCGUUUGUGACUGCAAGGCUAGAGUGCGUCAGAGGGAGGUGGAAUUCCGCGUGUAGCAGUGAAAUGCGUAGAGAUGCGGAGGAACACCGAUGGCGAAGGCAGCCUCCUGGGAUGACACUGACGCUCAUGCACGAAAGCGUGGGGAGCAAACA